GACGAACGUUGGCGGCGUGCUUAAUACAUGCAAGUCAACUGAAGCACCGGUAGUAAUACUGGUGUGGAGGUGGCGCACGGGUGAGUAACACGUAGGUAAUCUGCCUUCAGGUCUGACAUAACUCCGAGAAAUCGAAGCUAAUAUCAGAUGAUGCAGCGGCUUGACAUCAAGACAGUUGUUAAAGCUUCGGCGCCUGGAGAUGAGCCUGCGCUGAUUAGCUAGUUGGCGGGGUAACGGCCCACCAAGGCUUCGAUCAGUAGCUGGUCUGAGAGGAUGAUCAGCCACACUGGAACUGAGACACGGUCCAGACUCCUACGGGAGCAGCAGCAAGGAAUAUUGCUCAAUGGGAGAAAUCCUGAAGCAGCAACGCCGCGUGAA
RNAcentral lists this ribosomal RNA (378 nucleotides) under uncultured bacterium. Its description in RNAcentral is "bacterial SSU rRNA". It matches the Rfam family "Bacterial small subunit ribosomal RNA", at positions 28 to 405 of the family's 1533-position model. The record is from RNAcentral.